GUGAGGUAACGGCUCACCAAGGCCAUGAUCAGUAGCCGGCCUGAGAGGGUGAACGGCCACACUGGGACUGAGACACGGCCCAGACUCCUACGGGAGGCAGCAGUGGGGAAUCUUCCGCAAUGGGCGCAAGCCUGACGGAGCAAUGCCGCGUGAGUGACGAAGGCCUUCGGGUUGUAAAACUCUGUCCUUAGGGAAGAACGGUCUAUAUGUGAAUAAUGUAUAGAAAUGACGGUACCUAAGGAGGAAGCCCCGGCUAACUACGUGCCAGCAGCCGCGGUAACACGUAGGGGGCGAGCGUUGUCCGGAAUCACUGGGCGUAAAGAGCACGUAGGCGGAUUAUUAAGUCAGAUGUGAAAAC
This 358-nucleotide ribosomal RNA is filed under the name uncultured bacterium. RNAcentral's name for it is "bacterial SSU rRNA". It matches the Rfam family "Bacterial small subunit ribosomal RNA", at positions 252 to 601 of the family's 1533-position model. The record is from RNAcentral.